RNAcentral lists this unclassified non-coding RNA (310 nucleotides) under uncultured fungus. Its description in RNAcentral is "partial contains small subunit ribosomal RNA, internal transcribed spacer 1, and 5.8S ribosomal RNA". The stretch from base 1 to 73 matches the Rfam family "Eukaryotic small subunit ribosomal RNA", at positions 1759 to 1831 of the family's 1831-position model. The record is from RNAcentral. Lineage: Eukaryota; Fungi.
UCAAACUUGGUCAUUUAGAGGAAGUAAAAGUCGUAACAAGGUAACCGUAGGUGAACCUGCGGUUGGAUCAUUAACGAGAACGAUCUCGGGGGUGUCUCCUGCCGUUUCCAAUGUGUGGGCGGCGGGAGACCUUCCGACAACACCCCAUCGUGUGAACCAACAGCGUCGUCUUUUUGGUGGUCGUCCACCUCAGACGAUGCGACACACCCUUUUUUUUUCCGAUCCUUCUGACGCCGCGAAAGCGCAAAACAAAUGAGAAACAACUUUAGACAACGGAUCUCUUGGCUCUCGCAUCGAUGAAGAACGCAGC